RNAcentral lists this unclassified non-coding RNA (84 nucleotides) under Pelosinus propionicus DSM 13327. Its description in RNAcentral is "microRNA mir-598". The record is from RNAcentral. Lineage: Bacteria; Bacillati; Bacillota; Negativicutes; Selenomonadales; Sporomusaceae.
AAAUGGCGAUGAUGAUGGCGAUGAUGAUGGUGAUGAUCAUGGUGAUGAUCACCAUCAUCAUCAUGGAGUUUUACAUCUACAUAA